Molecule: ribosomal RNA, 459 nt
Filed under: uncultured bacterium
Lineage: Bacteria
Description: partial 16S ribosomal RNA
Rfam family: Bacterial small subunit ribosomal RNA
Source: RNAcentral
CCUACGGGUGGCAGCAGUGAGGACUAUUGGUCAAUGGUCGGGAGACUGAACCCGCCAAGCCGCGUGAGGGAGGAAGGUACAGUGUGUCGUAAACCUCUUUUGUCAGGGCACAAAGGCGGGUACGUGUCCACGGAUGCGUGUCACUGUAGAAAAAGCAUCGGUAACCCCCGUGCCAGCAGCCGCGGUAAUACGGAGGAGGGGAGUGUUAUCCGGGUUUAUGGGGUUUAAAGGGGGAGCAGGCGGUCUGUUGCGUCAGCGGUCACAGCCCGGGGCUAAACCCCGGCCCGCCGUUGAAACUGGCAGGCGCGAGUUGGGGAGAAGUAUGCGGAAUGCGCGGUGUAGCGGUGAAAUGCAUAGAUAUCGCGCAGAACUCCGAUUGCGAAGGCAGCAUGCCGGCUCCACACUGACGCUGAGGCACGAAAGCGUGGGUAUCGAACAGGAUUAGAUACCCUUGUAGUC